UACGUAGGGUGCAAGCGUUAAUCGGAAUUACUGGGCGUAAAGCGUGCGCAGGCGGUUAUGCAAGACAGAUGUGAAAUCCCCGGACUUAACCUGGGAACCGCAUUUGUGACUGCAUAGCUGGAGUACGGCAGAGGGGGAUGGAAUUCCGCGUGUAGCAGUGAAAUGCGUAGAUAUGCGGAGGAACACCGAUGGCGAAGGCAGUCCCCUGGGCCUGUACUGACGCUCAUGCACGAAAGCGUGGGGAGCAAAAGGG
RNAcentral lists this ribosomal RNA (253 nucleotides) under uncultured bacterium. RNAcentral's name for it is "partial 16S ribosomal RNA". It matches the Rfam family "Bacterial small subunit ribosomal RNA", at positions 524 to 776 of the family's 1533-position model. The record is from RNAcentral.